Molecule: ribosomal RNA, 250 nt
Filed under: uncultured bacterium
Lineage: Bacteria
Description: partial 16S ribosomal RNA
Rfam family: Bacterial small subunit ribosomal RNA
Source: RNAcentral
UACAGAGGUCUCAAGCGUUGUUCGGAUUCAUUGGGCGUAAAGGGUGCGUAGGCGGCGCGGUAAGUCGGGUGUGAAAUCUCGGAGCUUAACUCCGAAACUGCAUUCGAUACUGCCGUGCUUGAGGACUGGAGAGGAGACUGGAUUUACGGUGUAGCGGUGAAAUGCGUAGAGAUCGGGAGGAAGGCCGGUGGCGAAGCGGCGCUCUGGAACAUUUCUGACGCUGAGGCUCGAAGCGUGGGGAGCAAACAGG